UAAUUAACUUAUUAUGUCAUGAUGAUUACCAAUGGAUUUGGACUGACUUAAUUAAUUCUUCUAAUAAUAAAGUAGUAUAUGAUUAAUUAUAAUAAUUUAUUACACAAACUAACAACAUAAUAUUAAGCCGCCUUAUCGUUGAAGAUUCUGAAGCUAAGGGACUCGCUGCUACGUACUGCAAGAAAAAGGGUUUCCAUAUAUAGCCGAAAACCAGAGCUAGAGGAUUAGAUCUAACUAUAUUAGUAACUAAAAUAACUAUCUAGACCAUCUUGCAGAAUUCAUUAGAGCUAAUUUAAUACUUUAGGGUUUUCCAAGAACUAGGGUUUUGGAAAAACGUUGAUUGAUCAAGCAGCCGGAGCAUAGUCGUAAUCUCCAUCGCCAUCAUCAUCAUCCCCAUCUGCUUCCAGAGACGCUGCCGGGGCAUAGUCAUAGCCGCCAUCAUCAUCAUCAUCAUCACCAUCGCUAUCACCGUCUUCUUGGGGUAUCAGUGCCAUGAAAAAAUUAACAUAUUCAAAAAGAUUAUUUUCAAAAUCUUGCAAAUUCUGACCAGCAGGAACGCUGCCAGACAUACUGUUUUUUCUAGCUAAAAUUGCCAUUGAAACUUGAAUUCUGUCUGUUGUUUUCUUUUUCCCUGAAAGUAAGUCUUUAACUAAGUGGAAACCUAAGCUUUAAGUGAUAGUUAGAGGAUGCUAAGAGAAAGGUUAUAUAAAGAGAAAAAAGGUGAAGUGAGCGCUGGACAUGAAAUUGCCCGUGGGAAGAUGUGGCAACUCGCGGAGGACACGUGAAAUAGAAUGCCAACUCGAUGCCUGCAUGGCAUCUACGUGUGCAAAUCAAG
This 835-nucleotide long non-coding RNA is filed under the name Jatropha curcas. RNAcentral's name for it is "long non-coding RNA (JCUR_LNC002024)". The record is from RNAcentral. Lineage: Eukaryota; Viridiplantae; Streptophyta; Magnoliopsida; Malpighiales; Euphorbiaceae.